Molecule: ribosomal RNA, 198 nt
Filed under: uncultured bacterium
Lineage: Bacteria
Description: partial 16S ribosomal RNA
Rfam family: Bacterial small subunit ribosomal RNA
Source: RNAcentral
ACGCUCGACACCUACGGGAGGCAGCAGUGGGGAAUAUUGCACAAUGGGGGAAACCCUGAUGCAGCGACGCCGCGUGAGCGAAGAAGUAUCUCGGUAUGUAAAGCUCUAUCAGCAGGGAAGAAGAUGACGGUACCUGACUAAGAAGCACCGGCUAAAUACGUGCCAGCAGCCGUGGUAAUCUGAGCGGGCUGGCAAGGC